RNAcentral lists this ribosomal RNA (473 nucleotides) under uncultured bacterium. RNAcentral's name for it is "bacterial SSU rRNA". It matches the Rfam family "Bacterial small subunit ribosomal RNA", at positions 48 to 518 of the family's 1533-position model. The record is from RNAcentral.
CUAACACAUGCAAGUCGAGGGUAGCAGGGUAGCAAUACCGCUGACGACCGGCGCACGGUGACGUAACACGUAUCCAACCUUCCAUAACUCAGGGAUAGCCUUUCGAAAGAAAGAUUAAUACCUGAUAGUACUUUUUCAAAGGCAUCUUGAAAAAGUUAAAGAUUUAUUGGUUAUGGAUGGGAUGCGUUCCAUUAGAUAGUUGGUGAGGUAACGGCUCACCAAGUCUUCGAUGGAUAGGGGUUCUGAGAGGAAGGUCCCCCACAUUGGUACUGAGACACGGACCAAACUCCUACGGGAGGCAGCAGUGAGGAAUAUUGGUCAAUGGGCGAGAGCCUGAACCAGCCAAGUAGCGUGAAAAGGAUGAAGGUCCUAUGGAUUGUAAACUUCUUUUAUAGUAGAAUAAAGUGAGCCACGUGUGGUUUUUUGUAUGUAUACUAUGAAUAAGGAUCGGCUAACUCCGUGCCAGCCGCCGC